GCCACGUGAUGAGUCCAAGGCGAAUGUGACUCCUUGUCUUCUGGAUGUGAUCUCUGGCCUUUUCCCUCGGUCUGUAAUCUUGGUGGCUGUGUAGAAGUCUAUCGCUGUUGCUGUAAGGCCAGACCAACAUUACCUCGAUUAGAGGGGGUCUCCCACAAUGUGACAUUGCUCUGCCCACCAGAGUAUGUGUUGGCAGAGUCCUAGGGAGACCUACAUCCACUGGGAUACCUGGAAGGGAAUGGCUUCGAGGCUACAUCCUAAUAGAGGUUACAAGGCGACAUGAGCACAAGUCUUUGGUAAUCUGAUGGCA
Molecule: small nucleolar RNA, 310 nt
Organism: Xenopus tropicalis (tropical clawed frog)
Lineage: Eukaryota; Metazoa; Chordata; Amphibia; Anura; Pipidae
Source: Ensembl